This 253-nucleotide ribosomal RNA is filed under the name uncultured bacterium. RNAcentral describes it as "partial 16S ribosomal RNA". It matches the Rfam family "Bacterial small subunit ribosomal RNA", at positions 524 to 776 of the family's 1533-position model. The record is from RNAcentral.
UACGUAGGGUGCGAGCGUUGUCCGGAAUUAUUGGGCGUAAAGGGCGCGUAGGCGGCUUGGCAAGUCAAAGGUGAAAUCCCUCGGCUCAACUGAGGAACUGCCUUUGAAACUGCCUGGCUUGAGGCCGGGAGGGGGUAGCGGAAUUCCCAGUGUAGCGGUGAAAUGCGUAGAUAUUGGGAGGGACACCAGUGGCGAAGGCGACUACCUGGCCUGUUCUUGACGCUGAGGCGCGAAAGCUAGGGGAGCAAACGGG